RNAcentral lists this ribosomal RNA (497 nucleotides) under uncultured bacterium. RNAcentral describes it as "partial 16S ribosomal RNA". It matches the Rfam family "Bacterial small subunit ribosomal RNA", at positions 28 to 507 of the family's 1533-position model. The record is from RNAcentral.
GAUGAACGCUGGCGGCGUGCCUAAUACAUGCAAGUCGAGCGAACAGACGAGGAGCUUGCUCCUCUGACGUUAGCGGCGGACGGGUGAGUAACACGUGGAUAACCUACCUAUAAGACUGGGAUAACUUCGGGAAACCGGAGCUAAUACCGGAUAAUAUAUUGAACCGCAUGGUUCAAUAGUGAAAGACGGUUUUGCUGUCACUUAUAGAUGGAUCCGCGCCGCAUUAGCUAGUUGGUAAGGUAACGGCUUACCAAGGCGACGAUGCGUAGCCGACCUGAGAGAGUGAUCGGCCACACUGGAACUGAGACACGGUCCAGACUCCUACGGGAGGGAGCAGUAGGGAAUCUUCCGCAAUGGGCGAAAGCCUGACGGAGCAACGCCGCGUGAGUGAUGAAGGUCUUCGGAUCGUAAAACUCUGUUAUUAGGGAAGAACAAAUGUGUAAGUAACUAUGCACGUCUUGACGGUACCUAAUCAGAAAGCCACGGCUAACUACGUG